UAGGGAAUCUUCGGCAAUGGACGAAAGUCUGACCGAGCAACGCCGCGUGAGUGAAGAAGGUUUUCGGAUCGUAAAACUCUGUUGUUAGAGAAGAACAAGGACGUUAGUAACUGAACGUCCCCUGACGGUAUCUAACCAGAAAGCCACGGCUAACUACGUGCCAGCAGCCGCGGUAAUACGUAGGUGGCAAGCGUUGUCCGGAUUUAUUGGGCGUAAAGCGAGCGCAGGCGGUUUCUUAAGUCUGAUGUGAAAGCCCCCGGCUCCACCGGGGAGGGUCUUUGGAAUCUGGGAGACUUGAGUGCAGAAGAGGGGAGUGGAAUUCCAUGUGUAGCGGUGAAAUGCGUAGAUAUAUGGAGGAACACCAGUGGCGAAGGCGGCUCUCUGGUCUGUUACUGACGCUGAGGCUCGAAAGCGUGGGGAGCAAACAGG
Molecule: ribosomal RNA, 429 nt
Filed under: Gemmatimonadota bacterium
Lineage: Bacteria; Pseudomonadati; Gemmatimonadota
Description: Gemmatimonadetes bacterium partial 16S ribosomal RNA
Rfam family: Bacterial small subunit ribosomal RNA
Source: RNAcentral